UCUUCCUGGCUUAAGAUUUUAACCUGUUUGCUGGGCACCCAAGCCAGGGCGCUACAGUAACGACCACCAGACCAAAAAAGGAGCAGAAAGAAACCCAUUCUGUACACAAAACACUGAGGAAACUGAAUCCGAUUUGGCCCUCACUGACGUACUCUGCGGAUUGAAACGUUGGUAGCAAGCUGCCUCCAUAAUGUUGAAAAUGCUGGAUACUGCUGAAAAUAAUGCUGACAGGUCCCUAGUACCCCUUGAAAACAUGAAGUACCGAUGGGAGAAGUGGCCAGGAGUGUAUGGUACAGUUUCAGAGGAUUGAAACUUCUAAAGCAAGCUGCCUUCAGAAUGAAGCCAAAAACAAUGCUGCCACAUUCCUAGUACUGGUGGGAGAUGUGACCAGGAGUGUAUGGUACCAUUUCAGAGGACUAAAAACGUCGAGGGCAAGCUGCCUCCAGAGUGGUGAAGGUCUGGACACUGCUAAAAAUACUGCUGCCAGGUGCCUAGUACCCCUUGAGAACAUAAGUUCCACAUGGGAGAAGUGGCCAGGAGUGUAUACCGUAUCAAAGGUUGCAGGGCCUAUAAAAGUCAGGGUAGAGUCACUGAGCUGUUACUGAGUCUGAAAUGUUCAACAGGACUCUUCUUGGACAUUUUGCUAGUGAGACUCACAGCACUGCAAACUUCUAACCAGGCAGGGCGGCUCCCUGAAAGGACAAAACACUCCUGGUUCAG
Molecule: long non-coding RNA, 720 nt
Organism: Colossoma macropomum (tambaqui)
Lineage: Eukaryota; Metazoa; Chordata; Actinopteri; Characiformes; Serrasalmidae
Exons: 6
Source: RefSeq, a predicted model, not a curated record